CCCACGGCGAAUGGUUCAUCAAGUCUUCAAAAAAGAAUAUAUACGAUUGCAUUGCAUAUACUAACGGAUGCGAUCAUACCAGCACUAAUGCACCGGAUCCCAUCAGAACUCCGCAGUCAAGCGUGCUUGGGCGAGAGUAGUACUAGGAUGGGUGACCUCCCGGGAAGUCCUCGUGUUGCAUCCCUCUUUUAUGUUUAACCUUUUUUUUUUUGGUU
RNAcentral lists this ribosomal RNA (215 nucleotides) under Arabidopsis thaliana (thale cress). Lineage: Eukaryota; Viridiplantae; Streptophyta; Magnoliopsida; Brassicales; Brassicaceae. The record is from RNAcentral.